CAUGAAGUUGGAAUCGCUAGUAAUCGCGGAUCAGCAUGCCGCGGUGAAUACGUUCCCGGGCCUUGUACGCACCGCCCGUCACACCAUGAGAGUCGGGAACACCCGAAGUCCGUAGCCUAACCGCAAGGGGGGCGCGGCCGAAGGUGGGUUCGAUAAUUGGGGUGAAGUCGUAACAAGGUAGC
This 182-nucleotide ribosomal RNA is filed under the name uncultured bacterium. RNAcentral's name for it is "partial 16S ribosomal RNA". It matches the Rfam family "Bacterial small subunit ribosomal RNA", at positions 1319 to 1500 of the family's 1533-position model. The record is from RNAcentral.